GAUGAACGCUGGCGGCGUGCCUAAUACAUGCAAGUCGAGCGAACAGACGAGGAGCUUGCUCCUCUGACGUUAGCGGCGGACGGGUGAGUAACACGUGGAUAACCUACCUAUAAGACUGGGAUAACUUCGGGAAACCGGAGCUAAUACCGGAUAAUAUAUUGAACCGCAUGGUUCAAUAGUGAAAGACGGUUUUGCUGUCACUUAUAGAUGGAUCCGCGCCGCAUUAGCUAGUUGGUAAGGUAACGGCUUACCGAGGCAACGAUGCGUAGCCGACCUGAGAGGGUGAUCGGCCACACUGGAACUGAGACACGGUCCAGACUCCUACGGGAGGCAGCAGUAGGGAAUCUUCCGCAAUGGGCGAAAGCCUGACGGAGCAACGCCGCGUGAGUGAUGAAGGUCUUCGGAUCGUAAAACUCUGUUAUUAGGGAAGAACAAAUGUGUAAGUAACUAUACACGUCUUGACGGUAACUAAUCAGAAAGCCACGGCUAACUACGUG
RNAcentral lists this ribosomal RNA (497 nucleotides) under uncultured bacterium. Its description in RNAcentral is "partial 16S ribosomal RNA". It matches the Rfam family "Bacterial small subunit ribosomal RNA", at positions 28 to 507 of the family's 1533-position model. The record is from RNAcentral.